This 84-nucleotide transfer RNA is filed under the name Candidatus Woesearchaeota archaeon. Its description in RNAcentral is "tRNA-Ser". It matches the Rfam family "tRNA". Rfam says of the family: Transfer RNA (tRNA) molecules are approximately 80 nucleotides in length. Their secondary structure includes four short double-helical elements and three loops (D, anti-codon, and T loops). The record is from RNAcentral. Lineage: Archaea; Nanobdellati; Candidatus Woesearchaeota.
GCCGCGAUCGCAUAACCUGGUAUUGCGCUCGCCUCGAAAGCGAGUUUCCGUAAGGAAUUCCCGGUUCAAAUCCGGGCCGCGGCG